Molecule: non-coding RNA, 72 nt
Organism: Salmo salar (Atlantic salmon)
Lineage: Eukaryota; Metazoa; Chordata; Actinopteri; Salmoniformes; Salmonidae
Source: Rfam
UCCCAUGUGGCUCAGUUGGUAGAGCACGGUGUUUGCAAUGCCAGGGUUGUGGGUUCGAUUCUCACGGGGGAC